RNAcentral lists this ribosomal RNA (256 nucleotides) under uncultured bacterium. RNAcentral describes it as "partial 16S ribosomal RNA". It matches the Rfam family "Bacterial small subunit ribosomal RNA", at positions 524 to 776 of the family's 1533-position model. The record is from RNAcentral.
GACGUAGGGCGCGAGCGUUGUCCGGAUUUAUUGGGCGUAAAGAGCUCGUAGGCGGCUUGUCGCGUCGAAUGUGAAAACCCACGGCUCAACUGUGGGCUUGCAUUCGAUACGGGCAGGCUAGAGUUCGGUAGGGGAGACGUGGAAUUCCUGGAUGUAGCGGUGAAAUGACGCAGAUAUCAGGAGGAACACCGAUGGCGAAGGCAGGUCUCUGGGCCACUACUGACGCUGAGAAGCGAAAGCAUGGGGAGCGAACAGG